GAUGAAGAACGCAGCGAAAUGCGAUAAGUAAUGUGAAUUGCAGAAUUCAGUGAACCAUCGAAUCUUUGAACGCACAUUGCGCCCGGCAGUAAUCUGCCGGGCAUGCCUGUCCGAGCGUCAUUUCUACCCUCGAGAGAGUCCAGCAUCUAGGUGCUGGGCCUCGCCCGGCGUUGGAGCACUACGGGAAGCCCUGUGCUGUCCCCCGUAGGCCCCGAAAUGAAGUGGCGGUCCUGCCGCGGCGCCCCCUGCGUAGUAUAACAGCUCGCUUCGGGACCCGGUGGAGGCCUGCCGUCAAACCUAUACUCUCUAAGUUUGACCUCGGAUCAGGUAGGGUUACCCGCUGAACUUAAGCAUAUCAAUAAGCGGAGGA
This 370-nucleotide unclassified non-coding RNA is filed under the name soil metagenome. Its description in RNAcentral is "partial contains 5.8S ribosomal RNA, internal transcribed spacer 2, and large subunit ribosomal RNA". The stretch from base 1 to 120 matches the Rfam family "5.8S ribosomal RNA", at positions 35 to 154 of the family's 154-position model. The record is from RNAcentral.